UACGAAGGGGGCUAGCGUUGCUCGGAAUCACUGGGCGUAAAGCGCACGUAGGCGGAUUCUUAAGUCGGUGGUGAAAUCCUGGAGCUCAACUCCAGAACUGCCUUCGAUACUGAGAGUCUUGAGUCCGGGAGAGGUGAGUGGAACUGCGAGUGUAGAGGUGAAAUUCGUAGAUAUUCGCAAGAACACCAGUGGCGAAGGCGGCUCACUGGCCCGGUACUGACGCUGAGGUGCGAAAGCGUGGGUAGCAAACAGG
RNAcentral lists this ribosomal RNA (253 nucleotides) under uncultured bacterium. RNAcentral's name for it is "partial 16S ribosomal RNA". It matches the Rfam family "Bacterial small subunit ribosomal RNA", at positions 524 to 776 of the family's 1533-position model. The record is from RNAcentral.